Molecule: long non-coding RNA, 1419 nt
Organism: Rosa rugosa (rugosa rose)
Lineage: Eukaryota; Viridiplantae; Streptophyta; Magnoliopsida; Rosales; Rosaceae
Exons: 4
Source: RefSeq, a predicted model, not a curated record
UUUUAUAGUUUGAUUCUGAUUUAGUUAUGUAUUUGGGCACUACCUAAGAUAUAUUAGUACGGUGCUUCAAGAUUUGGUUGCUUUCAAUUCUGUAAAUGUACUUACUAUUUGAUUUUUCUUAUCAAAAAUUUGGUUUUGUAGGAACAAUUAAGGUCUGAUAGUCGAUCACUGUCAGGCAUAAACUUAAUGCUUUAUGCCUUUAUCAUGGUUCCUUUAGGUUUCUGCUGCAUUGUAAGUUAUGCAACAAUGGUAGUUCUGAUUUGGUAGUCAUGUUCUCUGUUUCAAUAUUUCACUCUUGGAUUCUAGGACUUUCUUUUUGUUUGCUUAUAUUAUUGUUCUUCUCUCCUUUAUCACUGGCAUGUUGGUUAGUACGUUUUGUAUCCUAUCGUAUCUUUUCUUACAUCUUUUUGUGCUUCCAGUUUGUCAUCCUUAGUUUAUUUGGAUGGCUAGGUAUGUUUCAGUGGGAAGGUUUCAAAGUUCUUCUGACUUGAAGUCUUGACUAGUGAGCAUCUGUAAAUUAUGAGUGAUUUCUCUUUGUUACAAACCCAAAUGCAAUACAUUUUAUAUUCAAAUAAAUACUACUUGUAUUAUAUUCCGUUAGUGUGAGAAACCAUACAAAAAGCAGUCUUCAUAGCUCUUUGUUUAUUCUACUUCCUGCAGCGAGUGAGAAACCAAUCAAGGAGAAGACAUGCUAUUACUUUAUUUUUGAAGGCCUUGUGGUAACUAUUGUCUUUUUCUUAUCAGGUUACUUUUGCCUGAUCUGUUCAACAAGGCUCUUCACCAUACUGGUUUUGGUUCUAUCAGCUCAUUGUUUUCCAUUGAAGAUAUGUCUCAGCCUCAUUAAUUAAUUCACUCCAUUUAAUUGAUUUUGUUGCUCAUAUCAUCGAGAAGGAAAUAUUGUUUCCAAUGCCAUUGACAUUUGCGGAUGGGAUCAAGGUGUUUUAGGAAUUUCUAAACAAGUAGCUGCAAGGUUAAGAAAGCUCCUAGCUGGGCGGAAGUUGAAGUGAUAAGACGAAUUGGAGAAGGAAAUACUGAAUGUUAGGGUUAACAUCAGAAGCUACAUGAGAGCUAAGCUAAGUAUUAUUGUUCUUCUUUCUGUUUUGAUUCCUUCAGAACACACGUGUUCCCUGAGAACUAAAUUAGGUAGCUUUGCUUUCUAUUCUUCUACAGUUUCAAGUAUGAAGAGGCAUUUUGACGAGAAGACGUACAUGUUAAAUAAGUCAUUUUCCAUUGUGCAGUUAUGACAACUAUGGAAUACAAGCAAAGUCUCUCAUAAGUGUUUCUAGAGGUUUUUCAUUUGCUGUGUAAUUGCUGUAAUAUGAUUAUACAAUCCAAAACAUGGGGCAGGCCAGGGGAAAAAUGAAAAUUUAUAAAAUAAAUGCUUGAUUUUGGCGCCAAUUAAACUGGCGCAAUUUUUUU